RNAcentral lists this long non-coding RNA (595 nucleotides) under Cyanistes caeruleus (blue tit). RNAcentral describes it as "lncRNA (ENSCCEG00000013741.1)". Lineage: Eukaryota; Metazoa; Chordata; Aves; Passeriformes; Paridae. The record is from RNAcentral.
CCAGAGCUAUCACCGGGCCUCAUGGGAGAUGUGACUACAGCAUCGGACAUGGGACUGUUUGUUCACUCACUUUCUGUGAAGAGAGUUUUGAACUGUGUUUUGAAUAGACAGCAUUUUCUUUGUGUGGUUGGUAAAUAACACAGAGCAAAGUUAGUCAGCAAGUUGCAUAGCUUCUGCAUUCUGAUUCUUUGGAGCCCUUUUGUACCAAGCUUGACAGGAUGUUUUUAACAGAAUGUGACCUCACUGGAAUACCAGAGCAGACAAUAAGCAGAUCAGAUCCAGUUGUUCAUCCAAGUCCUAGGAGCAGCAGCGUGAGUAUCGGAGCGGUGGCAAACCCAGCAAGACCGGGCAACCUUGCGGACAGCCAUCCUCAGUCCCCGGCUGAAGUGCACCAUGAUAGUUGCUCAGAGGAGCUGAUGCUGACAGAUGCACAAACACAAGAAAAUAUUCUGUAUUUACAAUGGCAUAUAGAAAAUAUAUAAGUGGUAAGUGGUUUCCAAUAUGUGGCUGAGAUGUGCUUGUACUUUGGAAGUACUUCAUUGUACGUACUGAAAGCAAGAUCUUUCAGGAGUAUCAGAUUCUGGCAUGAUAUUUG